GACGAACGCUGGCGGCGUGCUUAACACAUGCAAGUCGAACGCUGAAGCUCAGCUUGCUGGGUGGAUGAGUGGCGAACGGGUGAGUAACACGUGAGUAACCUGCCCUCUUCUUUGGGAUAACGCCCGGAAACGGGUGCUAAUACUGGAUAUUCACUGAUUCUCGCAUGGGGGUUGGUGGAAAGGUUUUUUCUGGUGGGGGAUGGGCUCGCGGCCUAUCAGCUUGUUGGUGGGGUGAUGGCCUACCAAGGCUUUGACGGGUAGCCGGCCUGAGAGGGUGACCGGUCACAUUGGGACUGAGAUACGGCCCAGACUCCUACGGGAGGCAGCAGUGGGGAAUAUUGCACAAUGGGCGAAAGCCUGAUGCAGCGACGCCGCGUGAGGGAUGGAGGCCUUCGGGUUGUAAACCUCUUUCGCUCAUGGUCAAGCCGCAGCUUUGGGUUGUGGUGAGGGUAGUGGGUAAUGAAGCGCCGGCUAACUACGUG
Molecule: ribosomal RNA, 482 nt
Filed under: uncultured bacterium
Lineage: Bacteria
Description: partial 16S ribosomal RNA
Rfam family: Bacterial small subunit ribosomal RNA
Source: RNAcentral